GUGGACUGAGUUGAGCUGACCCGGGUCCGAGUGGCAGCCGCGCUUCCCAGUUCCUGGAACCCGAAGCGGGCAUGUGGGACUUUGGGAUCCUGUGGCUGUCGGCUGCUCGCCAGGAGUAUGGCAGAAUUUCAUUUUGACGGUUCUAGGCCGAAAAGUAUGUGCAGGAGAUCCUCUUGAGACUGUGGAAGAGACCGUGGUGCGGCCUCUGUUGCGUUCUCACUUCAGUCUGUACACAUACAGUAUUACUCUGCAGGAGAGGGUAGGCGUGCAGAGAUGCCAAUGAGAAGUUCCGUCGUUUCUCGGAAUGUGUGCACUGGGAUUUCGGUCACCGCCUCUGUCAUUUCACCAGAUAGCCACACUGCACACAAUGUAGUGAAGUGGCUGUUAAGGGGGAAGUUGAUAUUUGAAACUUAGAGUGAAGAUUCAGACUUAAAUACCACAGCCGUGUGUUCAGUAUGGAGCUCUUGGAAUUUCCCCCAAAGCAAAGUGCAGGAGAAGAUGGAGUAUUGAGGUUCCAAGAAUAGGAUUCCAAUGACCGUUUUAGAAGUCCUGUAUUUAUUAAUGAUUUUCCAAUGAUUUCAUCCAAUAUGAUGUAUUAAUUGGCCAUUCAACGGAAAAAGGCAAUGAUAAAGCUACAUUGAUUCUCUACUUUGGACCAAACAAUAUUUAAUCUGAAAGGGAUAUUUAAUCUCAAUUGUAUGGUUUAUUUUGGAAGGCAAAUCUUACUAUCAAAAAUGUGUCAUUAUAUUGAUGAAAUAAGAUUUUUUAAAUGCACAAGACGUUGUAGCCAAAUUUCAUUUGUUUUUAGUACUGUACUGUCAUUUUCCAACUUACCUCUUCAAACUAUUCAUAAUAGAUUUCUUUCCCAUUUCUUUAGAAAAAUGCUUUAAAUGUAUAUAGGUUUUACUGUGUUUUUUUGGGGGGGAGAUGUAAUUAAUAGUCUCACUGAGAAAAGUAUUCCAUAACAUAAGUUGACCUACGUAUUUAUACUUUUAGCAUUGUCACUAUGAUGAGGCCCUAAGUGCUUGCUGCACAAGUGUGAGGGCCUGAGGUCCAGCCUAACGCCCACAUAAAAACCUGGCAUGGGAUGGCACGUGCUUGUGAUGCCAGUGCUGGAGAAGCAGACAGGUAUCAUGGCACUUCCCUUUAAUCCCUACACUCCACAGGCAGAGGGUGUCCACCAGCAGGCCUUCACAGACACACACACACACACACACACACACACACACACACACACACACACACACACACACACGCACGCACAGAGAGAGACAGAGAGGAAGGAGGAGGAGACAGACAGACAGACUUUUGUUUUGUUUUGAUACAGGGCUCAUGGUGUAGCUCUGGAUGGCCAGGAACAUUUGUAGUCUAUGCUGGCCUUGAACUCAGAGAGAUAUGCCUGCCCCUGCAUCCCAAGCAGUAGGAUUAAAGGCAUACACCACUAUGCCUGGCACAUUUUUAAGAGAAAAAAAUUUUUGGAAAUGGAGUCUUACUGCGUAGUCCUGGCUGGUGGAGCUCUGCCUGCCUCUGCCUGUGGAGUGUAGGGAUUAAAGGGAAGUGCCAUGAUACCUAGCAGGAAUAUGUAUUAUCAAUGAUUUGGUAUACAUUGUCAUUUUCUGUUUCUCCCACCUCUAAAAUUCAUGUGAAUUAUUUAAAUGAUACCUCUCUAAUUCUUAGUUGUGAAAGGAAUUCAACCAACUAACUAGUUUUAUUUUACUUCAGUGCAUGUAGGAAGAAAAAGUAAAUACGCUGAUACUCAAAUGAACCUUUUUAGUAUUUACAUCUUUGGGAAUUAUAAAUCAAUGUAUUCAUAAUUACUAGGAGAACAGGAAGACGGUUAUGUGAAGCAGUACUUAGAAAUAUGUUUUUUUUAUUUUUUUGCAUGAAUUACGUUCAAGAUAUUAAUUACAUUCAUGAUAUCCAUUAAUUACACUCAUGAUAUUAAU
Molecule: long non-coding RNA, 1946 nt
Organism: Peromyscus californicus insignis
Lineage: Eukaryota; Metazoa; Chordata; Mammalia; Rodentia; Cricetidae
Exons: 2
Source: RefSeq, a predicted model, not a curated record